This 162-nucleotide ribosomal RNA is filed under the name uncultured eukaryote. RNAcentral describes it as "partial 18S ribosomal RNA". It matches the Rfam family "Eukaryotic small subunit ribosomal RNA", at positions 1487 to 1650 of the family's 1831-position model. The record is from RNAcentral.
CCGCACGCGCGCUACACUGAUGCAAGCAACAAGUACUUCCUUGACUGGCAAGUCAGGGUAACCUUUUGAAAUUGCAUCGUGAUGGGGUUUGACGAUUGUAAUUGUUCGUCACUAACGAGGAAUUCCUAGUAAGCGCGGGUCAUCAGCCCGCACUGAUUACGU